CUCUAUGUCUGGAAUAACACUUCGAAAGAGGUGCUAAUACCGGAUGAUAUCAUGGGAUCUUCGGCUCCCGUGAUCAAAGGUGACCUCUACCUGUAAGUUACCGCAUAGAGAAAGGCUUGCGUACCAUUAGCUUGUUGGUGAGGUAACGGCUCACCAAGGCUAUGAUGGUUAGCUGGUCUGAGAGGAUGACCAGUCACACUGGAACUGAGACACGGUCCAGACUCCUACGGGAGGCAGCAGUGAGGAAUUUUGCGCAAUGGGGGAAACCCUGACGCAGCAACGCCGCGUGAGUGAAGAAGGCCUUUGGGUCGUAAAGCUCUGUCAAGUGGGAAGAAAUUGUCUAUUAUUAAUACUGGUAGGCAUUGACGGUACCACUAAAGGAAGCACCGGCUAACUCCGUGCCAGCAGCCGCGGUAAUACGGGGGGUGCUAGCGUUAAUCGGAUUUAUUGGGCGUAAAGGGCGCGUAGGCGGCUAGAUAAGUCAGAUGUGAAAGCCCGGGGCUCAACCCCGGAAGUACAUUUGAAACUAUUUGGCUUGAGUAUGGGAGAGGGAAGUGGAAUUCCUGGUGUAGCGGUGAAAUGCGUAGAUAUCAGGAGGAACACCGGUGGCGAAGGCGACUUCCUGGACCAAUACUGACGCUGAGGCGCGAAGGCGUGGGUAGCAAACAGGAUUAGAUACCCUGGUAGUCCACGCAGUAAACGUUGAUCACUAGGUGUAGCGGGCUUUUACCCCUGCUGUGCCGAAGCUAACGCAUUAAGUGAUCCGCCUGGGGAGUACGAUCGCAAGGUUAAAACUCAAAGGAAUUGACGGGGGCCCGCACAAGCGGUGGAGCAUGUGGUUUAAUUCGACGCAACGCGAAGAACCUUACCUGGAUUUGACAUCUCGGGAAUCUCUAUGAAAGUAGAGAGUGCCCUUCGGGGAACUCGAUGACAGGUGCUGCAUGGCUGUCGUCAGCUCGUGUCGUGAGAUGUUGGGUUAAGUCCCGCAACGAGCGCAACCCCUAUCUUUAGUUGCCAGCAUUCAGUUGGGGACUCUAGAGAGACUGCCCCGGUUAACGGGGAGGAAGGUGGGGAUGACGUCAAGUCCUCAUGGCCCUUAUGUCCAGGGCUACACACGUGCUACAAUGGGCUGUACAAAGGGCAGCUAACUCGCGAGAGUAGCCAAUCCCAAAAAGCAGUCCUCAGUUCGGAUUGGAGUCUGCAACUCGACUCCAUGAAGUUGGAAUCGCUAGUAAUCGUGGAUCAGCAUGCCACGGUGAAUACGUUCCCGGGCCUUGUACACACCGCCCGUCACACCAUGAGAGUUGGUUGUACCCAAAGUUGCCGGGCCAACCCAUUCGGGAGGCAGGUACCUAAGGUAUGGCUGAUGAUUGGGGUGAAGUCGUAACAAGGUA
Molecule: ribosomal RNA, 1394 nt
Filed under: metagenome
Description: bacterial SSU rRNA
Rfam family: Bacterial small subunit ribosomal RNA
Source: RNAcentral